CCUACGGGAGGCAGCAGUGGGGAAUAUUGCGCAAUGGCCGAAAGGCUGACGCAGCGACGCCGCGUGGGGGAUGAAGCAUUUCGGUGUGUAAACCCCCUGUUGCUCGGGACGAACAACUGGAUUUGUCCAGUCUGACGGUACCGGGUGAGGAAGCACCGGCUAACUCCGUGCCAGCAGCCGCGGUAAUACGGAGGGUGCGAGCGUUGUCCGGAAUCACUGGGCGUAAAGGGCGCGUAGGCGGUCUGCUAAGCGUGUGGUGAAAGCUCGGGGCUCAACCCCCGAGUCUGCCAUGCGAACCUGGUGGACUAGAGCACUGUAGAGGCAGGUGGAAUUCCGGGUGUAGCGGUGGAAUGCGUAGAGAUCCGGAAGAACACCGGUGGCGAAGGCGGCCUGCUGGGCAGUAGCUGACGCUGAGGCGCGACAGCGUGGGGAGCAAACAGGAUUAGAUACCCUGGUAGUCCACGCCGUAAACGAUGGGGACUAGGUAGCUUGGGGGUAGCGACCCCGUCGAGUGCGGCGCGACGCAUAAUACCCCGCCCGUCGGGACGGUACGGACCGGCGAACGCGUAGAACGUUAAAGGAAACGUUAGAACGGCGUCGAGGACGUGCCGAAGGACGACGACACGGGAGGUUAGG
This 636-nucleotide ribosomal RNA is filed under the name uncultured bacterium. RNAcentral's name for it is "bacterial SSU rRNA". The stretch from base 1 to 538 matches the Rfam family "Bacterial small subunit ribosomal RNA", at positions 338 to 873 of the family's 1533-position model. The record is from RNAcentral.